Molecule: ribosomal RNA, 200 nt
Filed under: uncultured bacterium
Lineage: Bacteria
Description: partial 16S ribosomal RNA
Rfam family: Bacterial small subunit ribosomal RNA
Source: RNAcentral
ACGCUCGACACCUACUGGAGGCAGCAGUCGGGAAUAUUGCGCAAUGGAGGAAACUCUGACGCAGUGACGCCGCGUAUAGGAAGAAGGUUUUCGGAUUGUAAACUAUUGUCGUUAGGGAAGAAAAAGGACAGUACCUAAGGAGGAAGCUCCGGCUAACUACGUGCCAGCAGCCGUGGUACGUAUGAGGCGGCGUGNGAGAG